CGGGAUACUAUCCCGUGGGAAUGUGGCUGAAAACUUCAGCUGAACCGUGAA
This is a non-coding RNA of Methanococcoides burtonii DSM 6242, 51 nucleotides long. NCBI's taxonomy places the organism in Archaea, Methanobacteriati, Methanobacteriota, Methanomicrobia, Methanosarcinales, Methanosarcinaceae. The record is from Rfam.